Molecule: ribosomal RNA, 460 nt
Filed under: uncultured bacterium
Lineage: Bacteria
Description: partial 16S ribosomal RNA
Rfam family: Bacterial small subunit ribosomal RNA
Source: RNAcentral
CCUACGGGAGGCAGCAGUGAGGAAUAUUGGUCAAUGGACGAGAGUCUGAACCAGCCAAGUAGCGUGAAGGAUGACUGCCCUAUGGGUUGUAAACUUCUUUUAUAUGGGAAUAAAAUGUUCCACGUGUGGGAUUUUGUAUGUACCAUAUGAAUAAGGAUCGGCUAACUCCGUGCCAGCAGCCGCGGUAAUACGGAGGAUCCGAGCGUUAUCCGGAUUUAUUGGGUUUAAAGGGAGCGUAGGUGGAUUGUUAAGUCAGUUGUGAAAGUGUGGGGCUCAACCGUAAAAUUGCAGUUGAAACUGGCAGUCUUGAGUACAGUAGAGGUGGGCGGAAUUCGUGGUGUAGCGGUGAAAUGCUUAGAUAUCACGAAGAACUCCGAUUGCGAAGGCAGUUCACUGGACUGCAACUGACACUGAGGCUCGAAAGUGUGGGUAUCAAACAGGAUUAGAUACCCCUGUAGUC